Molecule: long non-coding RNA, 5231 nt
Filed under: Malus domestica (apple)
Lineage: Eukaryota; Viridiplantae; Streptophyta; Magnoliopsida; Rosales; Rosaceae
Description: long non-coding RNA (MDOM_LNC009345)
Source: RNAcentral
GAAGCUUUGGUGUUGAAGCUUUGUAGGUAAAGCUUUGAGGUUGAAGCUUUGUUGGGUACCAUGAAUUGAUUUUGCUUCACACUAUCUUGAUCAAGAGUGUGUGAAGCUUUUGUAGGUGAAGCUUUUGUGUUGAAGCUUUGUAGGUGAAGCUUUUGUGGGUGAAGCGUUUGUAGGUGAAACUUUUGUUGGGUACCAUGAAUUGAUUUUGCUUCACACUAUCUUGAUCAAGAUAGUGUGAAGCUUUUGAGAAUUUGUAGUUGCCCUCCAUUUGUUGAAGCUUUUGUGGUGAAGCUUUGUAGGUGAAGCUUUGUUGGGUACCAUUAAUUGAUUUUGCUUCACACUGUCUUGAUCAAGAGUGUGUGAAGCUUUUGAGAACUGUGGUUGAACUCCUUUGAUGAAGCUCUUGUUGGCACCAUAAAUUGGUUUUGCUUCAUACUAUCUUGAUCAAGAGUAUGUGAAGCUUUUGAGAAUUAUAGUUGCCCUCCAUUAAUGAAGCUCUUGUUGGCACCAUAAAUUGGUUUUGUUUCACACUGUCUUGAUCAAGAGUAUGUGAAGCUUUUGAGAAUUGUGGUUGCCCUCCAUUGAUGAAGCUCUUGUUGGCACGAUAAAUUGGCUUUGCUUCACACUGUCUUGAUCAAGAGUGUGUGAAACUUUUGAGAAUUGUGGUUGAACUCCUUUGAUGAAGCUCUUAUUGGCACUAUAAAUUGGUUUUGCUUCACACUGUCUUGAUCAAGAGUGUGUGAAGCUUUCUACUAGUUGUAGUGUUUGCAUUGUUACAAAGGAGAAAUGUCUGAAGCAGAUGCAAGAGGGCUGAAUAGCUUGAUCUUCGUAUGCCAUGCACUGAAGUUGUUGUUGGCUUGCAAUAAGACUUUGUUGGUGACUAUAACUCUUGUUGGGCAUAAGUGCUCCCCUAGUUGAGUUGUCAAGCUUGAGGGUUUUUGAUUAUAUGUGAAUGCUAGGAGAUCACAUGUACAAGUUGUACCACUCAUCUUCUGGUAGGUGGAAUGAAUGGUGAGUUGCUUGCAUCACUUGGUUAGUGGUACGAAGGUGAGUUCAUUCAUCACCUUUCAUCACAUUUCAUCACCUGGUUGGUGGCAUGAAGAUGAGUGAUGCGAUGAAAGUUAAGCACUCAAAUUAAACCCUCUUUUUGUCAAAUUGUAAUAAUAAUGCAAAUAGGGAUCGUUUUAAACCGGGGAUUAGGAGGGCUUGCUAAAACCUCUAAACUAACUCAAAAACAUAAAAACAAAGUUAAAAACAUUUGAAUAGACUUAAAGAACUCAAAACAGGUUCACAAGACUCAAAAUAACUUAAAGACACUCAAAACUGCCUAAAAACACAAACUAGGCAGUUUCUGACUCUAACACAACUUUGGACAAAUUUGGGUUUUGACUUGACUCAAAACACUCUAAAACACAAACAAAACAGAUUUUAAACACUUUGAAACAAGAAAGUAAAAGGGGAAUUUUAGUUUUGAUGAAUUUGAAACAAACAAACAAGUUAUAAAACUAGGCAGAUUGUAAAACGAAUUUAAGAAAUAAGAUGAUGGAUGGAUUAGUUAGAGGUCUGUUCUCCACACAUGACACACUUGUUUAUGAAUUGAUUUCCAAUUGCUUUUCAAUAAACUAUGAUGCUCAACACCCCAGAUUAACCGCGAUGCACAAAUUAACCCUCAGAUUUUCCUUUACUCAUUGAAUUGGAUGAAUGCAUGCGACAACCUAAAUCAUUCUCUAAAAGUCCCCUAUAUGAAUGCAUAAUAAAGAUACAAUCAAAGAUCAUUACGUUCAAUGAAAAUCAUAAGUGUUGACGAGGCAAUUAUAACUAUGAAUGCAUGAUACAAUUGCCAAGAAUUCAAUUAACGCGAUUGUGAUAAACAACCUUCACUACUCAUGAAUAUAAACUUGUAACGAUUAGGUGAAACUCAUUUAUAUUCUAGCAUCUAAUUCAUGCAUGAAAACUAAGUAUGCAUCCUUAAUAAACAUACAAGAAUUAGUUAUGAAUAAAAUAGAUAAUUGAAUUGCAAUCACAACUUAUCAAAUCACAUUUGGAAGAAAUCAAUUCAAAUCUCAAGCAUGUUCAUGGCUUCAAACUUCCCCCUAACUAAAUAGGGGUUUAGCCACUCAUAAUUGCAACAAAAUUAGAAAAUAACAAAGCAGACAUUGAAAGCAAGAACGAAGUACACCUAAAACGCUCCGAAGUUCCAAGCUUGAAACGCCAAGGACCUUUGUCUUCACCACCUUGUUGUAGCACAAGUGUCUAGGAUGUGUAUGGAUAUAUGGAUGGAAUGGAUUUGCACGGCUAAGAGAUGAAACUGUAUGGAUUGGUGAAAUGUAGUAUGGCUAGAUGAAUGGAUGGAGGUCACUACAAGGAAAUUGUGUUUGUGAAUGAAGCUCUUUUGAUGGAUCAAGAUUGUUUUUAGGAAGGGGAAUGGUGGAUGUAUUUAUAGGCUAAGGAGAGGACCACUUCAAUUCCUUGCAUGUGCAGUUUGUAUGGGUGUGUGAUGUCCAUGUUUCCCUUUACAUUUGCACACACAUGACCUCCAUCAUUUCAGCCACAAAUCAACCCAUUUUCUGCCCAUGUGUGUGUGUUUCCUUUGCCCAUGUAUGUGUGUUUUUCCUUUGCAUUUGCACACACAUAUUCUUCAUUAUUUCAGCCAACAAUCCACCCAUUUUCUGCCCAUGUCAAACUGUCCAUGCCAUGCCUUUCUCUUUGCGUGUGUGCUGUCCAUGUUUCUUCCAUGUGCCUUGUUCAUCUUCUAGCUGUGCAUUUCCACUUGCUCCAAAGCCAAAUGAGUGCAAUCAUAACCCCAUUUGCUGCUGAGUGUUGAUGACAAAGCAAAACACAAAACAAGUGCCUUUACUUUCUCACUUUAUUAGCCAAAUCUGUUUAGCCCUUUUCUGAACCUUUUAGUGUUACAAUGCCCAUAACUUCUUCUAGAAAAAUUAUAUUAACAAUCCGUAAAUUUUUGCAGAAAAUAGACAUCCGUAGCUUUCCAAGCAUAUAAGGCUCAUUCUCUCAUUCAUUCUGAGCUGUUCGUAACAUGCUUCCAAAGUCAGCUAACUGCACAGGCAGUUUUGACGAAUUUGUUACUUAAUAACUCACUUGUGCUACUUUUCUUUUCUUUGCUUGAUAAAUCACACAAAACACAAAAACAUAGUAAAUAGCUCAAAAAUAUAAGGAACUAACUAAGAAAAGACAAGUGAAUUUUACGUAAAAUAUAUAUAAAUAUGAGCUUAUCAAAUACCCCCACACUUAGCUUUUCCUAGUCCUCGAGCAAAAUAAAGAAAACAAAACACAACUUAAACCUUCCAACGUUUGCCUCAGGGAUUUCCAACGCACAUGACAAGUUAAAAAUCAUCAUUCCCACAGAUUUUGUCAACUUAAAACUUGAGCACAUACUUAAUCACAGUCACCACUUACUAGUUCACAUUUAACCAAUUAAAACGAUGUUUUGAAUGUAGUAACAUGCCUUAGAGAAUUUGCUCAAUUCCUUACAAGAUAUGCACUCAAUUUUCACUCAGAUUUUCUGACUACACACCCUACACUAGGUACAUGUGAGAAGAUUGAUGUAAACAUGAAAACUAGUACUCACAUAUAUGUAUAACAAGAAAGCAUAGUAGUUGGAGAUACGCUGCUUGUAGGCGACAUUCCUCAAGUAAGCCUGGUUUCUGUGUUCCUCGACUAGAUCUAAGUUGAGGGUAAGUUGUUUAUCAUUUUCACUUUGCACGUAGUUCUGGACUCGGAACGUUGCUUGCUCAAGCUCAACUGGGACAACUGCCUCUAUACCAAAGGCAAGUGAGAAUAGGGUUUCUCCUGUUGAUGUUGAAGGAAAUUUUGUGAAAAACAUGUUCAUUUAAGCAACAUCUAUAGCAUGCAAUUAACAAUUAAAAGGCGGAAUCAUGCUUGAAUGCACUCAAAACAAAACAUUACCCAUGAAAUUCAAAGCCUAAUAGAUUGGUGAACCAAGACUCAACUCAAAACAAAGUGAGUUGAGAUAUUUAUACCUUUGUAGAUACCUCUUUGCAUAAGCAAAGGCUAAUCACCCAAAGAGAGGGCCUUCAUUCCUUGCAUCUUAGAUCUAUGGAUUUGGAUGGAUGAAAUGGUUCUCCAAGUUCCCAAAAUUGAGAACCUCUAAGUCUCUACACCAAGGUUAGAUUGGAGAAGAAAUGAGUGACCUUGGAGGAGUUGGAUUGCUAGCUAAUCCCUCCAAGGGGGCCAGCCUCUUUAGAGAGAAAGGGAGAGACAUGUUCUUUCCAAUUUUCUCCAAAAGAAACCCUUAAUGAAUUUAGGCUAUAAAGUCCUUUAUAUAGUCCCUUCAAAUAAGUGACCUAAAGAACCAAAAAGCCAUUCUUUUAACAUGGCCGGCCAAUUGAGGGAUUUGGGCUUUUGGGCCCUUAUGAAUCUUUAUUCAUUAAGUUUUCAUACAACUUAAGUCCAUGGGCUUUGACGUUCGAAGCCCAUUGGGCCUUAAGGUCCAAAACUAUCCCGUGGUCUUCAACGAACUUAUUCGUUUGAUUAAUUAACAUAUUAAUUAAUCCUUGCCAUAAAUAAUUAAACCAUUUAAUUAUUCUUACUCAUCUCCAUUGUUUCUUCAAUCUCCAACUUACACGGUGUACGAUCCAUUAGGUUCCUUUCAACGAGGCAGUGGGCGAUUAAAACCAUUUCAAAUCGAUUGUGAAUUGAAACUUACUUUCAAUUCUCCCUUUAGUGAUUAUACACGUUUAGGGCUUCCACAAACCAUGAGUGACACCUAGCAGCAUAUCAUGGUUACCCAAGCUAAUCAGAAGAGGUGGAGAACCUAUUCAGUUUAGGAUUACAAAUGCAAUACGAUCUUUCUCUAAUACAAUACUCUUGACCACAUUGUUUGGUUUGAUAGUUUAUUCAUGUCUACUAUUGAUGCGCAAAAUAACUUGACACACAAAUUAAACCCUCUUUUUUACAAUUGUAGUAUAGAUGUAAGUAGGGUAUCGUUCUAGGCCGGGGAUUAGGAGGGAUUGCUAAUCUAUUCUAAAUUAAUUUAAAAAUAUUAAACAAGACUCAAGGACUCAAAACUAGGCUAAAAACUCUAAUAACUCGAAACACACUUAAAAUGACUCAAAAUAAUGAAAACAAUCAAAUUAGACACUAGGAAUUGAAAUGGACGGAAAUUGAAUUAAAAGACUAAAAACAAUGAAAACUAACUAAAUAAUAUAAUUUAAUAAUGGAUGGGUGUUUGGUUUUGAUGAAAAGUAAAU